This 1155-nucleotide long non-coding RNA is filed under the name Delphinapterus leucas (beluga whale). Its description in RNAcentral is "lncRNA (ENSDLEG00000018554.1)". The record is from RNAcentral. Lineage: Eukaryota; Metazoa; Chordata; Mammalia; Artiodactyla; Monodontidae.
AAUAAGUAUAAUUUAUUUGUUAAUAGAUAAACUAGACUGGUGUGUAUGGCAAGUGUGUGAGAUCCCAGUUGGUUCUAAUCCCUGCCACAUUCCCACCCUGCCAAAGAUGAUGAGCACUUGAAGGCAACUGCAAGAGAAUACCUGACAGAACCCGGGAAGAGAAGCCAGGACCGGCCCUACCUGGUGCCUGACACCUGGCUAUGGGAUGAGAGACAGGGAGGACUGUCUGAGCCGGUGCGGGUCCUGAGAGGGAAAGGCCCUCUUUCCUGGGCAACUCCGGGGGGGCGAAAUGGCAAAGUGUGCUACCGUGCUAUCACUGCGACUAAGAAAAUGGCAGUGUGGCAGAGAGGAUGACGACACUGGCGCAGACAGGUGGUUUGUUUCCUCAGGCCAGAGGUCUGUCUAGGGCUGCCUUCCCUUAGAAGAGGGGCAGUGGCUCAGCCUCCACGGGCGCCGCCUCCCACCUUCCUCCCGCCCGCGGCCCCAGAAGGUGUAAAACAGACCCGGGGAGGGCCGUCCUCACAGCUCCUCUGCCACUGGUGCCCAGGGAGGAUGGCGCGCGCGAUGGGGGAGGGUAGGGGGGCGGACUCCGAUCAGUUCGGUACACACACAGACACAACACACACACACACCCCGGGACGAUCUGUAUCCAUCCGCUGCUCCCUCCAGCGCGGCCCUCCCUACCCUACCAACCCCAGCCCCCACUGCCCACCGCCCGCUGGCCCCACACGCUGCGGUGCCAGAAGUGUGCGGGGUGGGAAGGGUGGUCGCCCGAAGAGUAGCCGCGGAGGACCGGCGGGCCCCGCCCCUGAGGCCGGGACUCCUGGCCCCGCCCCUUUCUGGGUCGGAACUACGGUGGGCCUGGGAGGGGGCGUCGAGCCCAUUCGUGCCGUAUCCCUCCGCCCCCUUCCCGACACCCUCGCCGCGAGCGGUUGGUGCCGCAGCCUUCGUAGCCCCUGUCUGGUUUGGCGCAGCCGCGCGGGGGGCAGGACGCCUCUUUGCCGUUCUGCCCGCACGGCGAGCGGUGGGAAUCCGAGUGAGGAGCUGCGACAGGAGGGGGAGGCCGACCAUCGGGACCCUGCGUCUGCGAAGGUUUGUUCCUUUAUAGAGUACUGUAGAAAUCUGCAGGUAGCUGUUCACUUUGAAUUUGAUUAA